Molecule: long non-coding RNA, 533 nt
Filed under: Bos taurus (domestic cattle)
Lineage: Eukaryota; Metazoa; Chordata; Mammalia; Artiodactyla; Bovidae
Description: long non-coding RNA NONBTAT016602
Source: RNAcentral
GAGAGAGUCAACCUACUCUGGUCUCUCCUGAUAAAUCUUCAAAGGUCAGUCUUUCACAAUUCAUGACUCCUAUAACCAGGGCUAUUUUUAAAAUGUCUAAUGUGUUGUCAUUUAGUUCCCCCCAAGCAGCUUAAUUCAACUGAAUUCAUAAGAGAUAAUUGACUGAGUUAGCUAUGCAUGAAAAGCCAAGCUUAACGACUGACUGCAGCUUCAUUCUCCUUCUGGCCAUUAAAGUAAGUUAAUGAUCUGGAGCUGUGUAGGGGUUUCCAGAAAUAAUACUAUAAUGGCCAACAUGCUGUAGUUAGCAGCUGAGAAAAAGAGCUGUUUAUUAAUUUUCAGGCAGUCACCCUAACCCAUGCCAUAGUAUUUUUAUUUUAAGACGCAGUCUACUAUGAAGAAAAGCAACGCAUUACAACUCAAGUGAACACAAAACAUCUUGUUUGUAAAAACAAACUCGUGAAUGAUUUCAUGCAGAUUUUCAUAACUAUGGAAACUCAAUGCCCCUAAGUCUCCAAUUUAUACACUAAACCUGC